GGGAGUGUGGUGUAAUGGUAGCACAGCGGUCUCCAAAACCGUAUGAUGGAGGUUCAAAUCCUUUCACUCCUGCCA
Molecule: transfer RNA, 75 nt
Filed under: Phocaeicola sp.
Lineage: Bacteria; Pseudomonadati; Bacteroidota; Bacteroidia; Bacteroidales; Bacteroidaceae
Also listed under: 1 other name
Description: tRNA-Trp
Rfam family: tRNA
About the family: Transfer RNA (tRNA) molecules are approximately 80 nucleotides in length.
Source: RNAcentral